GAUGAACGCUGGCGGCGUGCCUAAUACAUGCAAGUCGAGCGAACAGACGAGGAGCUUGCUCCUCUGACGUUAGCGGCGGACGGGUGAGUAACACGUGGAUAACCUACCUAUAAGACUGGGAUAACUUCGGGAAACCGGAGCUAAUACCGGAUAAUAUAUUGAACCGCAUGGUUCAAUAGUGAAAGACGGUUUUGCUGUCACUUAUAGAUGGAUCCGCGCCGCAUUAGCUAGUUGGUAAGGUAACGGCUUACCAAGGCGACGAUGCGUAGCCGACCUGAGAGGGUGAUCGGCCACACUGGAACUGAGACACGGUCCAGACUCCUAAGGGAGGCAGCAGGAGGGAAUCUUCCGCAAUGGGCGAAAGCCUGACGGAGCAACGCCGCGUGAGUGAUGAAGGUCUUCGGAUCGUAAAACUCUGUUAUUAGGGAAGAACAAAUGUGUAAGUAACUAUGCACGUCUUGACGGUACCUAAUCAGAAAGCCACGGCUAACUACGUG
This 497-nucleotide ribosomal RNA is filed under the name uncultured bacterium. RNAcentral's name for it is "partial 16S ribosomal RNA". It matches the Rfam family "Bacterial small subunit ribosomal RNA", at positions 28 to 507 of the family's 1533-position model. The record is from RNAcentral.